CUGAAGAGGUAAAAUGGGAACUGGGAUUGAUCUAUUUUUAGACUGGGAAAAUGGGAUUUGGGUUGCUGGGACUGGGAUUUGGCCACUGCGAAUGGGAAAUGAAGUCCUCAAAAAUGGGAAUGGGAUUGAGGUAAUGCGAGUCGAUUCCCAAUUUUUCUACGUUUUAAGUAUUUUAAAAAACAAUUUUUAUCCGUUUUUGGUGUCUUUGGUCAUGAUUUUUGUUGUUAACUAUAUUAUUCACAGCACUACCUGAGAACAGGCAUACUCUGGCGCCCGAAAUUCUGGGUUUUCUGAUUAUGCAUGUCUCAGAAUGCUGCAAAU
Non-coding RNA from Paramuricea clavata, 321 nucleotides. The record is from the annotation of a GenBank genome assembly. NCBI's taxonomy places the organism in Eukaryota, Metazoa, Cnidaria, Anthozoa, Malacalcyonacea, Plexauridae.